UUAACUAUAUAUUUGUAGAAUUGAAUAAGUCAUUAUAUGUUAUCUCUUCUAAGAAAGUAAUUCCCAUUGACGUUUUGUUUAAGAAUUGUAUCAUUUUAGAUAAGAAAGCUAGGGCUAAUGAAAAUAGGUCUAAAGUAUAAUAAAGAUAAUAUGAAGAUUAGACAUCCUCACUUGUUAAAGAAUGAAGGUACAACAAGUUUCCAGGACGAAUUUUUUUUUAAAGGAAAUAGAAUGUGCUAGCCUGGUCC
Molecule: long non-coding RNA, 248 nt
Filed under: Elaeis guineensis (African oil palm)
Lineage: Eukaryota; Viridiplantae; Streptophyta; Magnoliopsida; Arecales; Arecaceae
Description: long non-coding RNA (EGUI_LNC078908)
Source: RNAcentral